Molecule: ribosomal RNA, 459 nt
Filed under: uncultured bacterium
Lineage: Bacteria
Description: partial 16S ribosomal RNA
Rfam family: Bacterial small subunit ribosomal RNA
Source: RNAcentral
CCUACGGGAGGCAGCAGUGAGGAAUAUUGGUCAAUGGUCGCGAGCCUGAACCAGCCAAGUCGCGUGAGGGAGGACGGUCCUGUGUAUUGUAAACCUCUUUUGUCAGGGAACAAAAACUGCCACGCGUCCCCGUCCGAGAGUACCCGAAGAAAAAGCAUCGGCUAACUCCGUGCCAGCAGCCGCGGUAAUACGGAGGAUGCGAGCGUUAUCCGGAUUUAUUGGGUUUAAAGGGUGGGCAGGCGGAAUAUCAAGUCAGCGGUAAAAGUGAGGGGCUCAACCCCUUCGAGCCGUUGAAACUGGUAGUCUUGAGUGGGCGAGAAGUAUGCGGAAUGCGUGGUGUAGCGGUGAAAUGCAUAGAUAUCACGCAGAACUCCGAUUGCGAAGGCAGCAUGCCGGCGCUCAACUGACGCUGAGGCACGAAAGUGUGGGUAUCGAACAGGAUUAGAUACCCGGGUAGUC